RNAcentral lists this transfer RNA (93 nucleotides) under Pseudomonadota bacterium. RNAcentral describes it as "tRNA-Ser". It matches the Rfam family "tRNA". From Rfam's summary of the family: Transfer RNA (tRNA) molecules are approximately 80 nucleotides in length. Their secondary structure includes four short double-helical elements and three loops (D, anti-codon, and T loops). The record is from RNAcentral. RNAcentral also lists the same sequence under 1 other name. Lineage: Bacteria; Pseudomonadati; Pseudomonadota.
GGAGCUGUGACCGAGUGGCCGAAGGUGCUCCCCUGCUAAGGGAGUAUGUGGGCAAAACCUGCAUCCAGGGUUCGAAUCCCUGCGGCUCCGCCA